AGGGGCUUAGGCUAAUAUCUCAGACCAAGGGCCUUCAAAGCCCUCAGUGGGAGUGAGAAUCUCCCAGCCCCUG
This 73-nucleotide transfer RNA is filed under the name Zanclus cornutus (moorish idol). RNAcentral describes it as "tRNA-Trp". It matches the Rfam family "tRNA". From Rfam's summary of the family: Transfer RNA (tRNA) molecules are approximately 80 nucleotides in length. Their secondary structure includes four short double-helical elements and three loops (D, anti-codon, and T loops). Lineage: Eukaryota; Metazoa; Chordata; Actinopteri; Acanthuriformes; Zanclidae. The record is from RNAcentral.